Molecule: ribosomal RNA, 301 nt
Filed under: uncultured bacterium
Lineage: Bacteria
Description: partial 16S ribosomal RNA
Rfam family: Bacterial small subunit ribosomal RNA
Source: RNAcentral
CAGUCGCCGCGGUAAUACGAGGGGGGCAAGCGUUGUUCGGAAUUAUUGGGCGUAAAGGGUGCGUAGGCGGUUUGGCAAGUUUGGUGUGAAAUCUUCGGGCUCAACUCGAAGUCUGCAUCGAAAACUGCCGGGCUUGAGUAUGGGAGAGGUGAGUGGAAUUUCCGGUGUAGCGGUGAAAUGCGUAGAUAUCGGAAGGAACACCUGUGGCGAAAGCGGCUCACUGGACCAUAACUGACGCUGAUGCACGAAAGCUAGGGGAGCAAACAGGAUUAGAUACCCCUGUAGUCCCUGUCUCUUAUAC